AUACGUAGGUGACAAGCGUUAUCCGGAUUUACUGGGCGUAAAGGGCGUGUAGGCGGUCUUGCAAGUCAGAAGUGAAAUUCCUGAGCUCAACUCGGGCGCUGCUUCUGAAACUGCAGGACUUGAGUGCUGGAGGGGAUAGCGGAAUUCCUAGUGGAGCGGUAAAAUGCGCAGAUAUUAGGAAGAACACCGGUGGCGAAGGCGGCUAUCUGGACAGUAACGGACGCUGAGGCGCGAAAGCGUGGGGAGCAAACAGGAUUAGAUACCCUGGUAGACCACGCCGUAAACGAUGAAUACUAGGUGUAGGGGGUAUCGACUCCCUCUGUGCCGCAGUUAACACAAUAAGUAUUCCGCCUGGGGAGUACGGCCGCAAGGUUGAAACUCAAAUGAAUUGGCGGG
Molecule: ribosomal RNA, 396 nt
Filed under: uncultured bacterium
Lineage: Bacteria
Description: partial 16S ribosomal RNA
Rfam family: Bacterial small subunit ribosomal RNA
Source: RNAcentral